UACUACUUUAUUAGGCGUUUGAAGUGUUUAAUUGGCCAAGAAUCUCUUGAAAACCCUCACCGGAAAAACUUCAAAUUCACCGUCGAACUUGAGAACUCUCAGCGGCGGAGUUAGCAUGGAUGUCAUCACCUCCACACGGUCAAAUGGAUGCAGAUAAAAGUUUAACGCCCAAACUGUGAGGAGGAAGGGUGAGAACUAAGAUGUAUCAUCUCUUUCAGCUGGGUCAGGAUAAACUUAUGAGGAGGAAGUUCCAUAUAGCCAACAGAUGCUACAUGUGCUUGUGCAACCCAGAAUCUAUCAAUCACCUGCUUCUUCAUUGCACUGUUGCCACAGACCUUCGAUACAUGUUCUUUUCUCUCUUUGGACUGACUUGGGCCUUGCCAGGCUCUUUGAGAGACGCUUUUGUGUGUUGGUGCUUCUAAAAAGUUGGGAAGUCCAUCAAAAUGAUCUGGUCUAUGGUUCCUGCUUUUGUAUUUUGUGCUGCUUAUGGAUAGAGAGGAACAAAAGGUGUUUUGAUGGCAUCUCAACUUCCAUUUCCUCUCUUAAGGCUAGAUGUGUGAUUAGUCGCUUUAGGUUUGUUUUUUUUUAGUCGUUUUAGGUUGGUCAACCACUCCUCUGUAAUUACUGUUGAAUCUUUCCUAGAAUAUAUCAGCUCAAUAGAUCUAUGUUGAUAGUUAUGAUAGUUUUUUUCACUUU
Solanum stenotomum is the source of this 696-nucleotide long non-coding RNA. RefSeq lists it as uncharacterized. The transcript is spliced from 2 exons. Lineage: Eukaryota; Viridiplantae; Streptophyta; Magnoliopsida; Solanales; Solanaceae. The record is from RefSeq and is a predicted model, not a curated record.